Canis lupus familiaris (dog) is the source of this 482-nucleotide long non-coding RNA. RefSeq lists it as uncharacterized. The record is from RefSeq and is a predicted model, not a curated record. Lineage: Eukaryota; Metazoa; Chordata; Mammalia; Carnivora; Canidae. The transcript is spliced from 3 exons.
CAAGAGAGAACAGCAGAAGAACCAGACAGUCAACAGCUAGAGGAGUUUUUCUGUAAACAGCAAGAGAAGACUGGAGGAGCUGCAGGUACACCAAGCCAGAAAACUGAAGAGGGAGCAUUCUACACUUUCUCCAUCUGCUGAGUACAUGCUCUACUUUUGUGUUUCAAAGAGUCCACAAUGGCAAUCUUCAGUAUGCAACUGUAGCUGAGAAUGUGCCAAACCACACACAAGGCAAAUAGCCAACUUAGCAACCAAGGUCUAACACAGGACCUGGCACACAGGAAUUACUGAAAAAAUAUCUGGACUACAGAGAUCUCUACUAAUAUGCCAAGCACAUUCAAAUCUGGCAAGAGGGGGAGGGGGAAGUAAAAAGAAGAAAAUUUCAAAUGGUAGAAUGAACUUUUAUGUUCAUAUAAAUUUAUUUCACACCAUAAAUUGGCUCCAUAGGCAAUAUUAUUUCCAAACUAGUAGCAUUUUUAAAG